Molecule: long non-coding RNA, 248 nt
Organism: Cebus imitator (Panamanian white-faced capuchin)
Lineage: Eukaryota; Metazoa; Chordata; Mammalia; Primates; Cebidae
Exons: 3
Source: RefSeq, a predicted model, not a curated record
CUCAGAACCAGAACAACUAAACUUAAUAAACAUUUAUAGAACUCUCCACUUCAAAUACACAAAAUAUACACUCUUAUCAGUACCACAUCACACCUGCUCUAAAAGUGAAGUAAAUCAUUCCUUAAUAAUUAUAUAGCAUUUCACAGGUUUAAAUGAAAUAUUGGUUGGCUGCUUGUUUGUUAUUUUCUUCCCUCAUUUCUUCCUGUCUCUAUUAUUAAGCACAAUUAUUGGCAUAAAAGAGGUUUUCA